CUAGCUACAGGCUUAACACAUGCAAGUCGAGGGGCAGCAUGGUCUUAGCUUGCUAAGGCCGAUGGCGACCGGCGCACGGGUGAGUAACACGUAUCCAACCUGCUGUCUACUCUUGGACAGCCUUCUGAAAGGAAGAUUAAUACAAGAUGGCAUCAUGAGUCCGCAUGUUCACAUGAUUAAAGGUAUUCCGGUAGACGAUGGGGAUGCGUUCCAUUAGAUAGUAGGCGGGGUAACGGCCCACCUAGUCUUCGAUGGAUAGGGGUUCUGAGAGGAAGGUCCCCCACAUUGGAACUGAGACACGGUCCAAACUCCUACGGGAGGCAGCAGUGAGGAAUAUUGGUCAAUGGGCGAGAGCCUGAACCAGCCAAGUAGCGUGAAGGAUGACUGCCCUAUGGGUUGUAAACUUCUUUUAUAAAGGAAUAAAGUCGGGUAUGGAUACCCGUUUGCAUGUACUUUAUGAAUAAGGAUCGGCCAACUCCGUGCCAGCAGCCGCGGUAAUACGGAGGAUCCGAGCGUUAUCCGGAUUUAUUGGGUUUAAAGGGAGCGUAGAUGGAUGUUUAAGUCAGUUGUGAAAGUUUGCGGCUCAACCGUAAAAUUGCAGUUGAUACUGGACAUCUUGAGUGCAGUUGAGGCAGGCGGAAUUCGUGGUGUAGCGGUGAAAUGCUUAGAUAUCACGAAGAACUCCGAUUGCGAAGGCAGCCUGCUAAGCUGCAACUGACAUUGAGGCUCGAAAGUGUGGGUAUCAAACAGGAUUAGAUACCCUGGUAGUCCACACGGUAAACGAUGAAUACUCGCUGUUUGCGAUAUACAGCAAGCGGCCAAGCGAAAGCGUUAAGUAUUCCACCUGGGGAGUACGCCGGCAACGGUGAAACUCAAAGGAAUUGACGGGGGCCCGCACAAGCGGAGGAACAUGUGGUUUAAUUCGAUGAUACGCGAGGAACCUUACCCGGGCUUAAAUUGCAGAUGAAUUACGGUGAAAGCCGUAAGCCGCAAGGCAUCUGUGAAGGUGCUGCAUGGUUGUCGUCAGCUCGUGCCGUGAGGUGUCGGCUUAAGUGCCAUAACGAGCGCAACCCUUGUUGUCAGUUACUAACAGGUCAUGCUGAGGACUCUGACAAGACUGCCAUCGUAAGAUGUGAGGAAGGUGGGGAUGACGUCAAAUCAGCACGGCCCUUACGUCCGGGGCUACACACGUGUUACAAUGGGGGGUACAGAGGGCCGCUACCACGCGAGUGGAUGCCAAUCCCAAAAACCUCUCUCAGUUCGGACUGGAGUCUGCAACCCGACUCCACGAAGCUGGAUUCGCUAGUAAUCGCGCAUCAGCCACGGCGCGGUGAAUACGUUCCCGGGCCUUGUACACACCGCCCGUCAAGCCAUGAAAGCCGGGGGUACCUGAAGUACGUAACCGCAAGGAGCGUCCUAGGGUAAAACUGGUAAU
RNAcentral lists this ribosomal RNA (1435 nucleotides) under uncultured organism. Its description in RNAcentral is "SSU rRNA". It matches the Rfam family "Bacterial small subunit ribosomal RNA". The record is from RNAcentral.